This 350-nucleotide ribosomal RNA is filed under the name uncultured Burkholderia sp. RNAcentral's name for it is "bacterial SSU rRNA". It matches the Rfam family "Bacterial small subunit ribosomal RNA", at positions 149 to 494 of the family's 1533-position model. The record is from RNAcentral. Lineage: Bacteria; Pseudomonadati; Pseudomonadota; Betaproteobacteria; Burkholderiales; Burkholderiaceae.
CGGCGAAAGCCGGAUUAAUACCGCAUGAGCCCGAGAGGGGAAAGUGGGGGACCGCAAGGCCUCACGCGAUUGGAUUGGCCGAUGUCCGAUUAGCUAGUUGGCGGGGUAAGAGCCCACCAAGGCGAUGAUCGGUAGCUGGUCUGAGAGGAUGAUCAGCCACACUGGGACUGAGACACGGCCCAGACUCCUACGGGAGGCAGCAGUGGGGAAUUUUGGACAAUGGGGGCAACCCUGAUCCAGCCAUUCCGCGUGAGUGAAGAAGGCCUUCGGGUUGUAAAGCUCUUUUGUCCGGAACGAAACGGUUCGCGUGAAUAUCGCGGGCUACUGACGGUACCGGAAGAAUAAGCACC